RNAcentral lists this long non-coding RNA (1586 nucleotides) under Medicago truncatula (barrel medic). Its description in RNAcentral is "long non-coding RNA (MTRU_LNC004998)". Lineage: Eukaryota; Viridiplantae; Streptophyta; Magnoliopsida; Fabales; Fabaceae. The record is from RNAcentral.
AGCGGAAUAUUUGUAACAUCAAUAAGUCUACAAUAAUUAUUCUUGGCAUGAAAGUCAUUUCAACAUAAAAUUCAAUCACAAAGGGCUACAUCAGCAAUAUUUCAAAAAUGAUACAUAGGAAAGAAUUCAAGCAAUAAAAUCCCAUCCCACGUAUCAGAGCCCUAGACACUGUGAGCCACCACCUACUACUCAGGAUCACCUGCAAGUUACCCAUAGGAAUGGCAACAUUUUCAAGCAGAAGGGGUGAGAUUCUCAAACAAUAAUAAUAAUAUAUAAUAACAUAAAUGAAUCUAACACCCUAUCAUCAUAAAUCAUUCAGCAAUUAUAGUAUAGCAUCAUUAGCAACUUCAUCAUCCAACAGUAAUCGAAAUAGUAAACAAUGACUCAUGCGACAACCCGACUUCACCUCUAAGACUCAUGCAGGACAUGACAACUCUACUAAGACUCCUCAACAAUUGCAACUAUGCAUGUGGUACCAUAACAGAGCCGAAGCCCUCACCUUUAUAGAAUGGUUAAACCAUUCUUUUAUCAGGACAUGAGUCCUCAUCAUAACAUCGUUUUGAACAACAUAGUGUUCCAUCGUUUUUGAACGACAAAGCGUUCCAAGACCGAAGUCCUCAUCAUAACAUCAUUUUUAUGCUUAUGCAACUGACUCCACUUGUGUAUAUCUGCAUACAACUCAACGACAAAUGCAUAUGUACUCAUAUGACUCACCACCCCUUAAUGCAACAUGUUUCAUUCACUUGAUUCAAGUAUUCCAACAUCUUCAAAAUUCAUAAAAGUUAACCAACUAAAUAUCAUCAUAAAUUAAGUAGGAUUUUAUGUCUAUACAAAGGUUAUACAAGCUAGAAGGAACACCUAGAAGUACUCAAAAGGAUCCCUUAGUGCACGAAGCAAGGUUCAGAAAAAGGCUGACUAACACUCAGUUCGCUUAAGCGACGGCUAGCUCGCUUAAGCGACCAUCUUACAGUAGGUCUGGGUUCAGUUCGCUUACGGGUCGCUCACGGCUUGCUUAAGCGAAUUCUUGGCAGAAUCAAACUUAAUUUUCGCUUACCAGCUCGAGUGUAGGUCUUGGCAGAAUCUAAUUCCUGGGCAGCUACAUGAAUGUUCGCUUAAGCGACGAGUGCUUCACUUAAGCAACCACUCAUCUGGGCAGGGUAAAAGUUACGAUUUUCAGACUUCUCCUCACUCCAAAAACCCAGUUUUAAUCCCCUGAUCACCCAAAACGUUUUCCAGAAAUGUUUACAAGUCCUAUAUACAAUCAGACAUCAAAAGGAACAGCAACUAAACAUCAACAACAUCAAUUCAGCCCAAUCAAGCAUUCAUUCAGAACUUCCAAAAUUCAUCCAUCAUAUUCUAUUUUCAUUUCAAUUACGAUCAAUAUCAACAACAUGGAUUAAGAAAUCAUACUAAUCAUUCAAAUACAACAUUAUAAACCUGAUUCUUACACCUUUUCUUUCAAAAUCAUCAUUAACCCUUAUUUUCCCAAUUUUACCUUAGGAACAGUUUAAUUGAUUAACUUUCAGAAAUUACAUAUUAUGACUAUUGAAAGAUAAUCCCACCCUUACCUUAGAAUUGCAAAGACA